UUUCAUUACCCUUCAAUACCUCUUUCCUUUCCUUCCCUUAUUCAUCCACAGAAAACGCGCCCUAAGGGUAUGCGCACCAACCAUGAAUGCCUAGAAGAGGAGGCAGGAAAUUUUCGGGAGGAGGCAUCAGGCUUGUCGGAGAGGAAUAGGUACUUGGAGAUGAGUAAGGAAUUUGAGGAUAAGUCUUAGCAAUUUGAGUAAUUGAAGCUUCACUUUACCGUAAAAGUGUCUCUGUUGGAGAUUGCUUGCUCAUACAAGGAUGUGUGCAUUAAAUUUCUUGAGGAGGAACUUGUUAUUCAUAAGGCCACCAUAUCUGAGAAGAACUCUCAAAUUACAUCCUUGGAUGAACUUUAUACCUCGGUGAAGCAAGAUGUUUUAUCAAUCAGGCUCUGUCAAAAAAAAUGUGUCUGAGUUGCGCCAUUCAAAUGGGAUUACAGUAGGAUUGUAUUGAAAUGAAGGAGAAGUAACCCGGGGAGUUGGAAGGGAAGCAUUUCAUCUAUUCCUAUCCUGGUGCCCAAAGUCGGAUUCUCGAUUGUUUUUCCGAUAUGAUAACUUAUAAGUAUCCACUCCUUAAGCUCCUAGAGGGGAACGAGGUUGACAUUGGUGUACUGAAGGAAAAGUUGGAAGCUUUGGAUCUGGAUCGCAAGUAUGUUGACGCGAGUAGUAGUGAUUAGGUGAUUGAUGGGGGAGAAUGGUUGAUUGUAGUUUAGGUGCUUUUGUCUUUUGAUAUGUAUGUGAUUAUACUCUUUUGGUCCGAUUAUCAAUGUUUUGUCUUGUAUUAUACUUUUUCUUACUGUCAAAUGUUGAAUGAAUGAAUGGUAUAUGUAACAUUGUUGUGUUUUUU
This is a long non-coding RNA of Lactuca sativa (garden lettuce), 844 nucleotides long. RefSeq lists it as uncharacterized. The record is from RefSeq and is a predicted model, not a curated record. Lineage: Eukaryota; Viridiplantae; Streptophyta; Magnoliopsida; Asterales; Asteraceae.